This 494-nucleotide ribosomal RNA is filed under the name Hyotissa mcgintyi. Its description in RNAcentral is "partial 16S ribosomal RNA". It matches the Rfam family "Archaeal large subunit ribosomal RNA", at positions 1916 to 2669 of the family's 2987-position model. Lineage: Eukaryota; Metazoa; Mollusca; Bivalvia; Ostreida; Gryphaeidae. The record is from RNAcentral.
CGCCGUUUGAAGUCACGUCCGGUAGUACCUGCCCAGUGCGUUGAGGCGUAAAUGGCGGCUGUAACCUGACGGUCUGAAGGUAGCGAAAUUGCUUGCCCUUUGAUUGAGGGAGUGCAUGAAGGUUUGACGAGGGCUCUACUGUCUCUUCCCAAAAGAGGUUGAAAUUUAGUUGGAGGUGCAGACGCCUUCGUUGUUAAGUCAGACAAGAAGACCCCGUGCAACUUUGAAGAUGGGUAGUGGUAUUUGAAUCCCUCUGAUUUUUAGGUGGGGCGCCAGGGGAGUAAAUAAAACCUUCUCUCCUAGUCUAUACACGACAUGUGAUGAGCCAAAAGUGUUUGAUCAUAGGAGAAGUUACGCCGGGGAUAACAGAGUAAUCCUGCAGCCGAGCUCGUAUUAGCUGCGGGGAUUGCCACCUCGAUGUUGAAUUAGGGAUCGUAUCUCUUUAGGUUGCAGCAGCUGUUGAAGUGGGUCUGUUCGACCUUUGAAACCCUACG